UACGUAGGGUGCAAGCGUUAAUCGGAAUUACUGGGCGUAAAGCGUGCGCAGGCGGUCUUGCAAGACAGAUGUGAAAUCCCCGGGCUUAACCUGGGAACUGCAUUUGUGACUGCAAGGCUGGAGUGCGGAAGAGGGGGAUGGAAUUCCGCGUGUAGCAGUGAAAUGCGUAGAUAUGCGGAGGAACACCGAUGGCGAAGGCAAUCCCCUGGGCCUGCACUGACGCUCAUGCACGAAAGCGUGGGGAGCAAACAGG
Molecule: ribosomal RNA, 253 nt
Filed under: uncultured bacterium
Lineage: Bacteria
Description: partial 16S ribosomal RNA
Rfam family: Bacterial small subunit ribosomal RNA
Source: RNAcentral